GUGUCAGCAGCCGCGGUAAUACGAAGGGGGCUAGCGUUGUUCGGAAUUACUGGGCGUAAAGCGCGCGCAGGCGGCUUGGUAAGUUGAGGGUGAAAGCCCAGAGCUCAACUCUGGAACUGCCUUCAAAACUAUCAAGCUUGAGUACGAGAGAGGUGAGUGGAAUUCCCAGUGUAGAGGUGAAAUUCGUAGAUAUUGGGAAGAACACCGGUGGCGAAGGCGGCUCACUGGCUCGUUACUGACGCUCAGGCGCGACAGCGUGGGGAUCAAACAGGAUUAGAAACCCUCGUAGUCC
Molecule: ribosomal RNA, 292 nt
Filed under: uncultured bacterium
Lineage: Bacteria
Description: partial 16S ribosomal RNA
Rfam family: Bacterial small subunit ribosomal RNA
Source: RNAcentral